GCUGGUCCCUCCCCUGCCGCUCCCUUCCGGACACUGGUGGCGGGUCUUGAUGGGAGGAGCUUGCCACAUUUACAGCCAGAAAUGGAGCACUAGGAAUGCAUAUGGAAGACAGGCUGGAUUUGACAUAAAGGAGGAGCAGGAGACUAGAAGAAAGUGCAAAAGGAGAGAAGGGGUGCAGGAGCAAGGGAGAAAAGAGCUUCAUUUGUGCCCAUAAGCCUUGAAUAUAAAGACCCAGCCUCAGUCUGAAACAGAGCCAGCAGUGAGGCAGCCUCAGAAUCAGCCCUGCUGCUGAGGUCUGACAUGUGAACAACCCAGCAGGAAUUAAAGAGGUGAAAUCAGCAGAUGAAACACUUGCUGAAGCCGAGAUAAGCAUUCCUGGGUAGGAAUUUUUCAAAAAAUCAAAAUGAAUCCUGUAAAUCUUCCUAAUUAGGAAACAUGACAAGAAACUAAAUUCAACCAAAAAAAAAAAAAAUGAAGUGCUGAAUAACACACCCACACUAAAUGGAAAGGCUCUAUUGAAAAUACCACUGAUUAUUAGUUUUCGCUGCUCAAGGAAAUUAUCUCGGCACAAUGAUGGGCAUCAACAUGCAGCUCACAGCAGCAGUCAAAAGCAGCAGCUGAGAUGUGUGGCCAUCCUAAUUAGAGGAGGGAGAAUUCUGAAAAGGCUCUGGAGCUGUGACAUUCCUGGCUGAAGCUUUCCUUCUAGGAAUGCCACAUAAGGGUUUUGGUCAUCACAUUGUAAAAGGGAACUUAAUAGGAAUGAUCUGGAAAAGGACAGUAGAACUGCCUUGGGAAAGAGUGCUAGAAGCUUUGAGGCUAAAGGCAAAAAGCAGGAAAACACUUCCAUAAGAAAUCAUUUUCAAA
Molecule: long non-coding RNA, 864 nt
Organism: Phyllostomus discolor (pale spear-nosed bat)
Lineage: Eukaryota; Metazoa; Chordata; Mammalia; Chiroptera; Phyllostomidae
Exons: 2
Source: RefSeq, a predicted model, not a curated record